RNAcentral lists this ribosomal RNA (750 nucleotides) under uncultured bacterium. RNAcentral's name for it is "bacterial SSU rRNA". It matches the Rfam family "Bacterial small subunit ribosomal RNA", at positions 62 to 843 of the family's 1533-position model. The record is from RNAcentral.
UCGCACGAGAAAGGGGAGCAAUCCCUGAGUAAAGUGGCGCACGGGUGAGUAACACGUGAAUGAUCUACCUCCGAGUGGGGAAUAACUGAGAGAAAUCUUAGCUAAUACCGCAUAACACUUACGAGUCAAAGCAGCAAUGCGCUUGGAGAGGAGUUCGCGGCCGAUUAGUUAGUUGGCGGGGUAAUGGCCCACCAAGACGAUGAUCGGUAUCCGGCCUGAGAGGGCGCACGGACACACUGGAACUGAAACACGGUCCAGACUCCUACGGGAGGCAGCAGUGGGGAAUUUUGCGCAAUGGGGGAAACCCUGACGCAGCAACGCCGCGUGGAGGAUGAAAUAUCUUGGUAUGUAAACUCCUUUCGAUGGGGAAGAUUAUGACGGUACCCAUAGAAGAAGCCCCGGCUAACUUCGUGCCAGCAGCCGCGGUAAUACGAGGGGGGCAAGCGUUGUUCGGAUUUAUUGGGCGUAAAGGGUGCGUAGGCGGUUUGGCAAGUCUGAUGUGAAAUCUAUGGGCUCAACCCAUAGUCUGCAUCAGAAACUGCCGGGCUUGAGUAUGGGAGAGGUGAGUGGAAUUUCCGGUGUAGCGGUGAAAUGCGUAGAUAUCGGAAGGAACACCUGUGGCGAAAGCGGCUCACUGGACCAUAACUGACGCUGAUGCACGAAAGCUAGGGGAGCAAACAGGAUUAGAUACCCUGGUAGUCCUAGCCCUAAACGAUGAUUGCUUGGUGUGGCAGGUACCCAAUCCUGCCG